GACGAACGCUGGCGGCGUGCUUAACACAUGCAAGUCGAACGGAAAGGCCCUGCUUUUGUGGGGUGCUCGAGUGGCGAACGGGUGAGUAACACGUGAGUAACCUGCCCUUGACUUUGGGAUAACUUCAGGAAACUGGUGCUAAUACCGGAUAGGAGCUCCUGCUGCAUGGUGGGGGUUGGAAAGUUUCGGCGGUUGGGGAUGGACUCGGGGCUUAUCAGCUUGUUGGUGGGGUAGUGGCAUACCAAGGCUUUGACGGGUAGCCGGCCUGAGAGGGUGACCGGCCACAAUAGGACUGAGAGACGGCCCAGACUCCUACGGGAGGCAGCAGUGGGGAAUAUGGCACAAUGGGCGGAAGCCUGAUGCGGCAACGCCGCGUGCGGGAUGACGGCCUUCGGGUUGUAAACCGCUUUCGCCUGUGACGAAGCGUGAGUGACGGUAAUGGGUAAAGAAGCACCGGCUAACUACGUG
RNAcentral lists this ribosomal RNA (468 nucleotides) under uncultured bacterium. Its description in RNAcentral is "partial 16S ribosomal RNA". It matches the Rfam family "Bacterial small subunit ribosomal RNA", at positions 28 to 507 of the family's 1533-position model. The record is from RNAcentral.